Molecule: long non-coding RNA, 233 nt
Filed under: Elaeis guineensis (African oil palm)
Lineage: Eukaryota; Viridiplantae; Streptophyta; Magnoliopsida; Arecales; Arecaceae
Description: long non-coding RNA (EGUI_LNC015228)
Source: RNAcentral
UGGUAAGCCGAAUAUCCUUUGAUCGAUCGUAGCUCGAUCGGUGAGUCACGAACGCGACAAGGGUCGCAUCGUGUGAUAGACGGUGGCAAGCCGAAUAUCCUUCGACCAUUUGUAGCUCGGUCGGUAAGUUGCGAACGCGACAAGGGUCGCGUCGUGUGAUAGACGGUGGCAACCCGAAUAUUUUUCGACCGUUCGUAGCUCGAUCGGUAAGUUACGAACGCGACAGCGGUCGC